CAUAAAUUAAUGAUUGACGAAGUUAUACGAGAAUUAAUUUACGAAAGAACGAUAAAUGUUAAAAGGCAAAAUAUGUUUACAAUUUAUUCAAGCUCUCUUGAGGAUUUGUAGAGCGAUACGAUGGAGAUAUAUUUUACGGACAAGUGAUAUCAAUCGACGAUUAUAGAUACAUUAUGACGAACCUAAACGAACGUGUGACAGCCGUCAGUAUUUGUCAGCUUAAAUUAGGAUCAUUUGAACUGAAACGUAUUAGUGUACGAACCCACCAUGGACGAAUUAAUUAGUCGGCCUUUAUGUGAAUCAACAUCAUGGCCAAUUGAUUUCUUCCGAUCGAAACGCAACACGUGCGCUUAAAUGAAAUACUCUUUUCUUCGAUGACAACGCGAACGAACAUCGAUAGGAUAUUAAGAAGCGAACGAAAAAUCGAAGAAAAAGGGAUAAAGGAAGACAAUUACCGUUCAAAUUUUAAUCAUUGCGCGCAUGGUGGUCCCUCGUGACAUUGUAGAAACAAACGAACGUGAGUAACAUUCACUCACAGCGGC
This is a long non-coding RNA of Vespa mandarinia (Asian giant hornet), 542 nucleotides long. Lineage: Eukaryota; Metazoa; Arthropoda; Insecta; Hymenoptera; Vespidae. The record is from RefSeq and is a predicted model, not a curated record.